Molecule: non-coding RNA, 3092 nt
Organism: Taeniopygia guttata (zebra finch)
Lineage: Eukaryota; Metazoa; Chordata; Aves; Passeriformes; Estrildidae
Source: RefSeq, a predicted model, not a curated record
GCGGGCCGCGCCCGCGGGAGUCCGUGAGGCGGAACCGGAGACGUGAGGUGUCCGUGCGGACCUUUGGCAGCGUGUUCUUCCGGGAAAAAAAGCCUUCUUAUCGACCCCGGAGUGAUUCAGGAUGAGAGCACAGAUGCUUUACACCAGCAGGAGGUUCACCCACAGCCAAGGAGAACAGCAAACUCACCAGCUUUUUUCUGGGUCUCUUGGGCCUGACAUCCACAGCAUCCUUUGUCAUAUCCCAGUGGUGGAUGUCCAAACAGCUCUUUCCCUUCAGCUGCUCAUCUCUUGAGUGCUCUCAGAAGAAAAUCUUUGGUUUGCCUCACAGUUUUAUUAGGCACAUAAAUAGACCCUCAAGCAAAAGUCACCCCAAAAGGACCAGCAAAAAGGAGCCUGGGGUUUUAACACCUCCUGGCAGUCUGGACUUGCAAAUUACAUUUUCCUGCUGUACUUCUCUGCAACUCCCUCAAUUACCCAAACAGGAAACUGGAAAGUCCCACAGGCUCUUGGGUCUCUCCCUCACACUGACAACUGGCACCCAGCAUCUGUACUUUGGCUGGCUUGUUCACCAAUGUGAUCAAGAGUGAUCUGGGCAAGGAGGAAGAGCCUGCAAAUUGUCUUCAUGGGAGAAUUUUCAAUUCUGAGCUGAAAGGAAACAGGCCUGGAAAUUACAUUGGUCUUUGUGUGGUUGUUUCUCCUCAUAGCUCAGUCUUAAGGUGGGUGGCUGGAUCAUCCUUUGCUGAUUGUGCAGUAACACCUCUACUUCAGGAUUCUUUUGUGUACAAUGUGUAGAACACCUGGAAUAUUAGAUAUACCUCCAAACCAUAGGAACGACACCAAAUUGCAAAGCCAAUAUAUGAUACCAUGUACAAUGUAUUAAUGCUCUUCUAAUGGUUUUGAUAGCAGAAUACCAAAUUCUGUUAAAUGCUGCAUAUAUGAUUAAUAAAUACAAAACCAUGAAUAAACAAAGUUCAGAAUCUGUUCCUCAGCUGAGUUGAAGAAAUAUAUAUGGGAAAUGGGAAUCAAAACUAAAGAAAUGAAAAGAUUCUUCUUGUUGUAGGUUGUUGCUGGAGUACUACUUGAUACAAAGUGGUGUUAUCCUGGGGGAUUUGUAAUGAGAAAAGUCCAUUAAAGAACUCAAAGAAUUUCUCUGUGAUCAAGAUUUGGAUGUAAUUAAUUUUAAUUCAUCUACACUACAGAGAUGUGCAAUGGCAUGUGUGAACAUGUGAUGUGCAUCCCCUGCACUCCUCCUGAGGCCUCAGUGUGGUCUGAGAAAUGCUCAUUAGGCCUCGAUCUUCACAAACGGCACCUAGGCUGAGCUCCUUCUGAGUUUAUCAAAAUCAGUCUGUUCCCAGGAACUAGGACUGUCUAAUGAGCUCCUGAUUUUUAAUGAACUGCCUUGGAAACUUACUUUUCUUGCCUCGAAAACAACCCAAGCAGAAUAACAAUUUUGUUAUCAAACUUUCAAAGAACAUGCUAUCCCAGAUUUGCAGUCAAGAUGAAAAAUUAUUAUGAUUGAAGCCCAUUCUCUUGUGACUCUAUAAACAAUGGCCCAAGGUGAGACCCUUUGAGCUCUCCUGGACAGCAGAGACUGUGACCAGCACCUCCCUCUAUGUGAGGCCUCUCAGAGCCAGAGAACGCUCAAGUUUGCUAAACUUGGAAGAUCACUGAAUGAUAAUGAUGGACUUACACCCCCACUUCUCCAGACUCAACCCUUUGCCCAUUGGGAUGAUCCAAAGGCAUCAGAUGUGUGUCCUUCACCAAAUUUGAGGAGAAUUUGUCACAGGUACUCUGUGGGUGUUCUUAUACAGACCCUUUAGGUAUGUGUGCAUGAGGGUGUGAAUAUGCUAUAGCAUAUGUACAAGGAAUGCUGUUCUCCUAGAUUCUUAAGUACUUCAGGUUUGUAAGUUAGGCCAAUGAGUUGUAGUAAAUUCUAUAUGAAUCCUUAGAUAAAUUGUUUGUCAGUUAAGUGCCCUUAAGUGCUGUUAAAGCUAUAGACCUAAACUGUCAAGUCUGGGGCGCAGUUUAGCAAAGGGGUCUACUCUGAAACUUGUGAUGCAAUGGGAGGGUCUUCCUUAUUCUUGUUUGUCCUUACCCCUUUCCUAUCCUUAUCCCCAGCCUCCACAGAGUUAAGUUUUGAGUUGAUUUUGGAUUUCAAUUGACUGGUUUUGGGUUUUGAGUUUGCUCUUUUUCUGUGUGCUUUUACCAGAGCAUUAGUAGUAAGUAGUAGUAGAGGGAACCUUGUAAAUUAACUACAUCAUACUUCCUGUUUUAUAUUAAACGUGCUUUUGCCUAUGAAUUUGCUGUGAUUCUUUAAGUAACCUUAAAACGCUCAUUUGCCAGAGAACACUAAGAAAAAUAAACACGUGUACAUUUGAACCAAUGCAUUGGCACAGCAUUAGGUUUCUGUUGCUGCCAGCACAGGCUUAAGCUGUGCAUUGGCUGAGCAGCAGCACCAUCUUGUGAUACAGGUACAAAACAUUCUGUAGGGUCACACACCUGGAUGUUCACCCUGUGCUUGGCAAGUGGGGGACUCAGCUUCUGGCCUUUGCACUGGCCACUGAUCCCGACCCAGUCGUUCUGUUGAGCUACUUCAGCCUCACCCUGUUUCAUUGGCGCUUAAUUGAAACAUGGACAGCUAAUUCAGUUAUCGAUCAGCUCCCAAAGCAUCCAGGGAGCUGCUGGCAACUGGGCUUAAGGUCUGGUCAUUUUAGUUUGUUUUGGAAGCUCUACUUCUGUCAUUAUAGAUGUCCUGCUGGUAUAUUAAGUCUUACCUGAUGUACUAACUCUUAUCACUGUCAUAAUCACACCAGGAAUGGGACUAAUCUGUCUUCCUUGCUGAGGCUUAGGAGAAAUGCAGGAGAAAAGCAAGCUGUGUGUGUCAUCAAUGAGGCAAUGCCAUGGGGUUUUUGAAGUUUUUGGACUUAUGUCAUUUUAGAUGCUGAGCUAUAGGUAAAAAAACUGUCAGGCAGUCUGCUUAAUAGACUCCCCAUCUAUUAAAAAAGAGAGUGCACACACUCUCCUGUAUAUCAGUUAGUCUUGGAGCAUGCCACCAACUCUCCAUGAAUAGUAAUGAUGAUAAUAGCAAGUAA